AUGAUAGAUAGAGAUGUGGCUACAACAAUUCCAUAUCUCUCACUGGCACAGAAUACUGGCUGGAAGAAGAGAAACAGCUGUACUCUAGUGCCGUCCCAGAGGAAUAAGGAAGACCUUCCUCAGAUGGAAUUUUGUUGCUGUUUGCAUCUAUUGGGAGAGUUCUCAAAGGUAUUAAGGAUUAUCAUUAGACGAUGCUCAUCAAUCAUUAUUAUUGUGGAUAAGCUUCAUUUGAUCUGCCCUUCAAGAACAUCAAAGUUUCUUCUGCUCAUUUCCAGUUUUUUUAGAUACUCUGGUUUAAAGAACCAUGGCCUAGUUGAAUUCUGUAUAGGAUGGAAAGAGAGGAGUCAUUUUACCUACUGGAAGCUACAUUGAGCAGUGAUCAGGGAGCCUCUGCUGAUGAGAAUGCUUUCAACAUUCUUCUCCAUCAUAUCCAGAUGGAGCCAGACUUAGAAACCUUCUAGUUCUCUGAGUAAGAUCAUCAAACAGAUGAAAAAUAAGAAAGCAUCUGGAAAUGAUAUCAUUCCUGCCAAAUGUUCACACUAGAAAAAAAGUAGCUCAUGUAAUGUGUCUGUAUUCUCCUCAUAAAAUAUAAGAAUAAAAGAGAAAAUGCUACAUGUCCCCAGGGACAAGGAGAUCAUCAGUUUUACAUAAUGAUAUACAUCCUAUGACAGGCUAGAUAUCCAUUCCUGAACCAGCUGCAGAGUAUAUGUUUUAGAUAAAAGAUAGUUUUCAUAAAUAAGUAUCGAUGAGGAAACUCCACAUUCUGUUUUGGAAAGACAAUAUGUUCAUGUCUUAAAGGUGGAUGUUUUGACAUUGAGAUUUCACCUCUCUCUCUACAGUGGAUUUCUGUUUCAUCUAGUUUCUAGUGCUUUUCUUAGGAAACACUGUAUAAAUAUCUUGCAUCCACUUUGAGAUGUUUUUGUUGAGGAAAGCAGCUCAUCAAGGGCUUAGUGACUUGAAAUGAACCUGAAAGUUCCUGCUUUAGAAUAUAACUUCGUUUGAUUUCUGAGCGAUGAGUAAAAUUUUCAAAACUGUAGAGACUACUUUGCAUAUGUCCUUUUCACUAGAAGGUUUGGGAAGAACCUUACUUACUGGAGGUGCACAGGAUUCAGAACCAGAAAUCCUAAGCAGAAAUCCUAUUUUUACCAUUUUCUGAGAAAUUAUUGAACCUCUGUUUUAUCAUCUCCAAACGAGAUAGCAUCAUAACACUAAAGGAAAAGGGCUUUGUAACUGUAAUACACUAUCACAGUCUCAUUCCUUUCUCCUAGUAUGCACUUUUGAAAAACAUUCAACUAAUCCUAAUGUAUUUUUUAAAGUUCACAAAGACUUUCACAUGCAGAUUUCCAUGGGAUGCUCUUGACAGACUCUGAAGCAGAUAUUGCUUUGUUAGUUGUUAUGUUGUUAGUUCUCUGAAAUUAUAAAGUAUUCCUUUUGGCACAGUGCUUUGUAAUUAUAGUUGUCUUAAUGUGUGUAUUUGAUAGGUAGUUGUAUUAGUCAAAUGUUGUCAUAAUAAUGCUG
This 1518-nucleotide long non-coding RNA is filed under the name Capra hircus (goat). Its description in RNAcentral is "lncRNA (ENSCHIG00000007151.1)". The record is from RNAcentral. Lineage: Eukaryota; Metazoa; Chordata; Mammalia; Artiodactyla; Bovidae.